CUACGGGGUGCACCAGUGGGGAAUAUUGCACAAUGGGCGCAAGCCUGAUGCAGCCAUGCCACGUGUAUGAAGAAGGCCUUCGGGUUGUAAAGUACUUUCAGCGGGGAGGAAGGGAGUAAAGUUAAUACCUUUGCUCAUUGACGUUACCCGCAGAAGAAGCACCGGCUAACUCCGUGCCAGCAGCCGCGGUAAUACGGAGGGUGCAAGCGUUAAUCGGAAUUACGGGGCGUAAAGCGCACGCAGGCGGUUUGUUAAGUCAGAUGUGAAAUCCCCGGGCUCAACCUGGGAACUGCCUCUGAUACUGGCAAGCUUGAGUCUCGUAGAGGGGGGUAGAAUUCCAGGUGUAGCGGUGAAAUGCGUAGAGAUCUGGAGGAAUACCGGUGGCGAAGGCGGCCCCCUGGACGAAGACUGACGCUCAGGUGCGAAAGCGUGGGGAGCAAACAGGAUUAGAUACCCCCGUAGUC
This 464-nucleotide ribosomal RNA is filed under the name uncultured bacterium. RNAcentral describes it as "partial 16S ribosomal RNA". It matches the Rfam family "Bacterial small subunit ribosomal RNA", at positions 339 to 795 of the family's 1533-position model. The record is from RNAcentral.